Microplitis mediator is the source of this 689-nucleotide long non-coding RNA. RefSeq lists it as uncharacterized. NCBI's taxonomy places the organism in Eukaryota, Metazoa, Arthropoda, Insecta, Hymenoptera, Braconidae. The transcript is spliced from 3 exons. The record is from RefSeq and is a predicted model, not a curated record.
UGAGUUCAAGGCAGCUGUUGAAGAUUUAAAACUGUUUAUUAAAAAAGAGCUAAACAACGCGAAGAGGAGUAUACUCUACGACUUGGAUCAAAAGAUGAAUACCCUGAAAUUAGAAAUUAUAAAACAAAGUUCUGAUCAAUCUGUCCAUCCACAGCCUUGGAAAAUUAUAGGCACAGAUUUGCCAGCCAAUGAUGUAGAAAAAUUUUUUGGAAUUUGACGAAGCUCUUAAAGUUGACAGCGCGAAACAGGAAGCACUGAAAGAUAUUUUUCGAUUGGAAACUAUUGGAUCUACCGACUAUGAAUCGGAUAUUUCAGUUAUCCUGAAAAAAUUAAUUACCAAAACUGUUCAAUUGCAGUACAGUGGCUGUGGUAGAGUCGUUAAUGGGAUCGGAAAAAAAAAUUUUUCUGCUACGGAAUUUUUUAAACACAUGAAUGAAUUUCUGAUGACUAAGUACAGCGAAUCAAAAGCGACGUUAAAAAUAACCCACGCAACCAGUAGAUUUUUUGCCGGCGCAAAAGAUAGAGACGGUGGCCGAUCACAACGGCAAAAAAAUCCUCCAACUAUUAAUCCAUAAUUAAACAAUCCUUAUUUUCAUUUAUAAUAAUUCGUUUUCAAUACGAAAAUUCAAAAAUUAAUCGACCCUUAAAUUUAAGUUAUAUAAUUAAAAACUCAUUUAUUAUUUAUAAUU